This 839-nucleotide long non-coding RNA is filed under the name Lathyrus oleraceus (garden pea). RNAcentral describes it as "Pisum sativum (pea) long non-coding RNA (PSAT_LNC021374)". Lineage: Eukaryota; Viridiplantae; Streptophyta; Magnoliopsida; Fabales; Fabaceae. The record is from RNAcentral.
AAUGAAUGAUGACUAUGUAGAUUUAAUAAGGCAAACAAUAAUACUCAUAAGAAUGACAUAUAGAAGGAUGACUUUGUUGUGGUCAUUCAGGGAGAGAGUGAAGUUAAUGCUAAUGAGGAACAUUUAUCAUAAAAAAGCUCUCUGAAUGAAGAAUAAAUAAUAUGAGACACUUAUAAUGAUUUGAAUAAGGAUUUUGUGAUUGAAAAAGAUAUAGCUAAUGAUAGAAGGGAGAAACAUGAUCUUAUGGUUGUCGAAAAUAGUGGUAAGCAUCUGGUGUGAGAUCCUUGUGAUGGUUUGCAUUUGGAGAAGAAUAAUAACUUAUGUGGGCGAUGAAGAUAAUCAUCCUGAGUCACAUUAGGAAGAAUUUAAUUUGGUUAAGAAAAGAGGUACGAAGGAGGAAUAAACUUACUUAGGAUAUAAUGAAAAUCAUUACCCGAGCCAUGUCAAGUAUACACAACACCAUUAAAUGGAAGCCAUUCAUUGGAAUGCUAGAGAAGUAGGAAACUUAGAUACUAAGCUAGCUAUUAAAAAUAUUUAUGAUCAAUAGAAGCCUGAUUUGCUUUUGAUUGUUGAACCAAUGAUUCCUUAUACAUAUCUUCCUGCUAAGUGUCUUGAACAAAUCAAACUUAAGAGAUUUGCAUUACAUUUUAAACCAAAUCAUAAUUCAAACACAUGGGCUUUUUGUGCAAUAGAUAUGAAUCCCUAUAUGUUAAUUUUUUUAAACAUGUAAAUUUAUCUAUAGAAAUGGAUCAACUAAAUUCUUCAUUAUAGCUGUAUAUGAAAGUAACUCCCAUGUGAUUCAGAGACAAUUAUGGAAUGAACCUACCAAUCUUCAACAG